GACGGAGGAUGCAAGUGUUAUCCGGAAUCACUGGGCGUAAAGCGUCUGUAGGUGGUCAAAUAAGUCAACUGUUAAAUCUUGAGGCUCAACCUCAAAAUCGCAGUCGAAACUAUUAGACUAGAGUAUAGUAGGGGUAAAGGGAAUUUCCAGUGGAGCGGUGAAAUGCGUAGAGAUCGGAAAGAACACCAACGGCGAAAGCACUCUGCUGGGCCGACACUGACACUGAGAGACGAAAGCUAGGGGAGCGAAUGGG
RNAcentral lists this ribosomal RNA (253 nucleotides) under uncultured bacterium. Its description in RNAcentral is "partial 16S ribosomal RNA". It matches the Rfam family "Bacterial small subunit ribosomal RNA", at positions 524 to 776 of the family's 1533-position model. The record is from RNAcentral.